AGAGUUUGAUCUUGGCUCAGGAUGAACGCUGGCGGCGUGCCUAAUACAUGCAAGUCGAACGAACUUCCGUUAAUUGAUUAUGAGGUGCUUGCACUGAAUGAGAUUUUAACACGAAGUGAGUGGCGGACGGGUGAGUAACACGUGGGUAACCUGCCCAGAAGCAGGGGAUAACACCUGGAAACAGAUGCUAAUACCGUAUAACAGAGAAAACCGCCUGGUUUUCUUUUAAAAGAUGGCUCUGCUAUCACUUCUGGAUGGACCCGCGGCGCAUUAGCUAGUUGGUGAGGUAACGGCUCACCAAGGCGAUGAUGCGUAGCCGACCUGAGAGGGUAAUCGGCCACAUUGGGACUGAGACACGGCCCAGACUCCUACGGGAGGCAGCAGUAGGGAAUCUUCCACAAUGGACGCAAGUCUGAUGGAGCAACGCCGCGUGAGUGAAGAAGGGUUUCGGCUCGUAAAGCUCUGUUGUUAAAGAAGAACGUGGGUGAGAGUAACUGUUCACCCAGUGACGGUAUUUAACCAGAAAGCCACGGCUAACUACGUGCCAGCAGCCGCGGUAAUACGUAGGUGGCAAGCGUUAUCCGGAUUUAUUGGGCGUAAAGCGAGCGCAGGCGGUCUUUUAAGUCUAAUGUGAAAGCCUUCGGCUCAACCGAAGAAGUGCAUUGGAAACUGGGAGACUUGAGUGCAGAAGAGGACAGUGGAACUCCAUGUGUAGCGGUGAAAUGCGUAGAUAUAUGGAAGAACACCAGUGGCGAAGGCGGCUGUCUGGUCUGUAACUGACGCUGAGGCUCGAAAGCAUGGGUAGCGAACAGGAUUAGAUACCCUGGUAGUCCAUGCCGUAAACGAUGAUUACUAAGUGUUGGAGGGUUUCCGCCCUUCAGUGCUGCAGCUAACGCAUUAAGUAAUCCGCCUGGGGAGUACGACCGCAAGGUUGAAACUCAAAAGAAUUGACGGGGGCCCGCACAAGCGGUGGAGCAUGUGGUUUAAUUCGAAGCUACGCGAAGAACCUUACCAGGUCUUGACAUCUUCUGCCAACCUAAGAGAUUAGGCGUUCCCUUCGGGGACAGAAUGACAGGUGGUGCAUGGUUGUCGUCAGCUCGUGUCGUGAGAUGUUGGGUUAAGUCCCGCAACGAGCGCAACCCUUAUUACUAGUUGCCAGCAU
RNAcentral lists this ribosomal RNA (1162 nucleotides) under Pediococcus acidilactici. RNAcentral's name for it is "bacterial SSU rRNA". It matches the Rfam family "Bacterial small subunit ribosomal RNA", at positions 8 to 1124 of the family's 1533-position model. Lineage: Bacteria; Bacillati; Bacillota; Bacilli; Lactobacillales; Lactobacillaceae. The record is from RNAcentral.